AAUGAAGCGCCAUGGAGGGUGAGAGCCCCGUCCAUCCCGCACAGGAUCCAUUCGUACAAGGACGCUUCAACCGAGUCGGGUAGCUUGGGAAUGCUGCUCUAAUUGGUGGUAAAUCUCAUCAAAGGCUAAAUAGUGGUGGGAGACCGAUAGCGAACAAGUACCGUGAGGGAAAGAUGGAAAGAACUUUGAAAAGAGAGUGAAAAGCACUUGAAACCGUCACGGGGGAAGCGGAUUGCGUGAGUGAUGGUGUCGCUUGUUCAGCGCUUUAUUGCGUGCAUUCUGGCGGCGCCGUGCCGGCGUGGCUGGCUGGACUGUGAUUUUGACAGUCUCGGCUGGUGAGGGCUCCCUCGUAUGAGGUGAGGACGCGGGCAAAAUGACGCAAUACGACCCGUCUUGAAACACGGACCAAGGAGUCUAGCACGGCUGCGAGUCGAAGAGUGAUUAAACUCAAGGGCGCAGUGAAAGCGAAAUUAUAAGCAAAUUGGGGAGGCGUUGCGUUUUUAACAAAAUGUCCUACCUCGAGCAUUUGUGCUGGGACCCGAAAGAUGGUGAACUAUGCCGGAGUAGGGCAAAGCCAGAGGAAACUCUGGUGGAGGCUCGUAGCGAUGCUGACGUGCAAAUCGCUCGUCGAACUUGGGUAUAGGGGCGAAAGACUAAUCGAACCAUCUAGUAGCUGGUUCCCUCCGAAGUUUCUCUCAGGAUAGCGGGCCGACACGCGUUUGUUGUUUUGUGCGGUAAAGCGAAUGAUUAGUGCAUUUGGGGUACGAAGUACUUCGGGCGAUUCUCAAACUUUAAAUGCGCAAGGGGGUGGCUGCUUAAUUGAGCCUACUCUUUGAAAAACGUCGGCCCUGUGGGCCACUUUUGGUAAGCAG
RNAcentral lists this ribosomal RNA (872 nucleotides) under Palmaria palmata (dulse). RNAcentral describes it as "eukaryotic LSU rRNA". It matches the Rfam family "Eukaryotic large subunit ribosomal RNA", at positions 194 to 1147 of the family's 3401-position model. The record is from RNAcentral. Lineage: Eukaryota; Rhodophyta; Florideophyceae; Palmariales; Palmariaceae.